Anopheles arabiensis is the source of this 281-nucleotide long non-coding RNA. RefSeq lists it as uncharacterized. Lineage: Eukaryota; Metazoa; Arthropoda; Insecta; Diptera; Culicidae. The transcript has 3 exons. The record is from RefSeq and is a predicted model, not a curated record.
CACUCGGACAAGUUCUACGGCAAUCUUUUAUUACGAUGGUUCGUUAAAGCUACUAUGCCAAUGAAGUUUGUAUAUCAAUAACAAUAUUGGUUCUUUCACAAGUGCACGUAUUUCCUCGGAGCUCAAUCAAGUAGACAACGCACGGUUCAUAGAAUUACCAAAAGAAAACGAUAGUUUAACUUUGCCUGCUCCCUAUAAUCCGUUUGUCGGUCCAAAAACAUCUAAAGAACUCAAUAUUAAUUCGACGUUUUUAACAAACGACACAAGUUUAGAAGCAGGUA